This 492-nucleotide ribosomal RNA is filed under the name uncultured bacterium. RNAcentral describes it as "partial 16S ribosomal RNA". It matches the Rfam family "Bacterial small subunit ribosomal RNA", at positions 29 to 507 of the family's 1533-position model. The record is from RNAcentral.
AGUGAACGCUGGCGGCAGGCCUAACACAUGCAAGUCGAACGGCAGCACAGUAAGAGCUUGCUCUUACGGGUGGCGAGUGGCGGACGGGUGAGGAAUACAUCGGAAUCUACUUUUUCGUGGGGGAUAACGUAGGGAAACUUACGCUAAUACCGCAUACGACCUACGGGUGAAAGCAGGGGAUCUUCGGACCUUGCGCGAUUGAAUGAGCCGAUGUCGGAUUAGCUAGUUGGCGGGGUAAAGGCCCACCAAGGCGACGAUCCGUAGCUGGUCUGAGAGGAUGAUCAGCCACACUGGAACUGAGACACGGUCCAGACUCCUACGGGAGGCAGCAGUGGGGAAUAUUGGACAAUGGGCGCAAGCCUGAUCCAGCCAUACCGCGUGGGUGAAGAAGGCCUUCGGGUUGUAAAGCCCUUUUGUUGGGAAAGAAAAGCAGCAGGUUAAUACCCUGCUGUUCUGACGGUACCCAAAGAAUAAGCACCGGCUAACUUCGUG